GGGUUGUGAGGUUAAGCGACUAAGCGUACACGGUGGAUGCCCUGGCAGUCAGAGGCGAUGAAGGGCGUGCUAAUCUGCGAUAAGCGCCGGUAAGGUGAUAUGAACCGUUAUAACCGGCGAUACCCGAAUGGGGAAACCCAGUGUGAUUCGUCACACUAUCAUUAACUGAAUCCAUAGGUUAAUGAGGCGAACCGGGGGAACUGAAACAUCUAAGUACCCCGAGGAAAAGAAAUCAACCGAGAUUCCCCCAGUAGCGGCGAGCGAACGGGGAGGAGCCCAGAGCCUGAAUCAGCAUGUGUGUUAGUGGAAGCGUCUGGAAAGGCGCGCGAUACAGGGUGACAGCCCCGUACACAAAAGCGCAUGUGCUGUGAGCUCGAUGAGUAGGGCGGGACACGUGGUAUCCUGUCUGAAUAUGGGGGACCAUCCUCCAAGGCUAAAUACUCCUGACUGACCGAUAGUGAACCAGUACCGUGAGGGAAAGGCGAAAAGAACCCCGGCGAGGGGAGUGAAAAAGAACCUGAAACCGUGUACGUACAAGCAGUGGGAGCACAGGUUUACCUGUGUGACUGCGUACCUUUUGUAUAAUGGGUCAGCGACUUAUAUUCUGUAGCAAGGUUAACCGAAUAGGGGAGCCGGAGGGAAACCGAGUCUUAAUUGGGCGUUAAGUUGCAGGGUAUAGACCCGAAACCCGGUGAUCUAGCCAUGGGCAGGUUGAAGGUUGGGUAACACUAACUGGAGGACCGAACCGACUAAUGUUGAAAAAUUAGCGGAUGACCUGUGGCUGGGGGUGAAAGGCCAAUCAAACCGGGAGAUAGCUGGUUCUCCCCGAAAGCUAUUUAGGUAGCGCCUCGUGAAUUCAUCUCCGGGGGUAGAGCACUGUUUCGGCUAGGGGGCCAUCCCGGCUUACCAACCCGAUGCAAACUGCGAAUACCGGAGAAUGUUAUCACGGGAGACACACGGCGGGUGCUAACGUCCGUCGUGAAGAGGGAAACAACCCAGACCGCCAGCUAAGGUCCCAAAGUCAUGGUUAAGUGGGAAACGAUGUGGGAAGGCCCAGACAGCCAGGAUGUUGGCUUAGAAGCAGCCAUCAUUUAAAGAAAGCGUAAUAGCUCACUGGUCGAGUCGGCCUGCGCGGAAGAUGUAACGGGGCUAAACCAUGCACCGAAGCUGCGGCAGCGACGCUUAUGCGUUGUUGGGUAGGGGAGCGUUCUGUAAGCCUGUGAAGGUGGCCUGUGAGGGUUGCUGGAGGUAUCAGAAGUGCGAAUGCUGACAUAAGUAACGAUAAAGCGGGUGAAAAGCCCGCUCGCCGGAAGACCAAGGGUUCCUGUCCAACGUUAAUCGGGGCAGGGUGAGUCGACCCCUAAGGCGAGGCCGAAAGGCGUAGUCGAUGGGAAACGGGUUAAUAUUCCCGUACUUGGUGUUACUGCGAAGGGGGACGGAGAAGGCUAUGUUGGCCGGGCGACGGUUGUCCCGGUUUAAGCGUGUAGGUGUGUGUUCCAGGUAAAUCCGGUUCACUUUAACACUGAGGCGUGAUGACGAGGCACUACGGUGCUGAAGUAACAAAUGCCCUGCUUCCAGGAAAAGCCUCUAAGCAUCAGGUAACAUCAAAUCGUACCCCAAACCGACACAGGUGGUCAGGUAGAGAAUACCAAGGCGCUUGAGAGAACUCGGGUGAAGGAACUAGGCAAAAUGGUGCCGUAACUUCGGGAGAAGGCACGCUGACACGUAGGUGAAGUGAUUUACUCAUGGAGCUGAAGUCAGUCGAAGAUACCAGCUGGCUGCAACUGUUUAUUAAAAACACAGCACUGUGCAAACACGAAAGUGGACGUAUACGGUGUGACGCCUGCCCGGUGCCGGAAGGUUAAUUGAUGGGGUCAGCGCAAGCGAAGCUCCUGAUCGAAGCCCCGGUAAACGGCGGCCGUAACUAUAACGGUCCUAAGGUAGCGAAAUUCCUUGUCGGGUAAGUUCCGACCUGCACGAAUGGCGUAAUGAUGGCCAGGCUGUCUCCACCCGAGACUCAGUGAAAUUGAACUCGCUGUGAAGAUGCAGUGUACCCGCGGCAAGACGGAAAGACCCCGUGAACCUUUACUAUAGCUUGACACUGAACAUUGAGCCUUGAUGUGUAGGAUAGGUGGGAGGCUUUGAAGCGUGGACGCCAGUCUGCGUGGAGCCGACCUUGAAAUACCACCCUUUAAUGUUUGAUGUUCUAACGUGGACCCGUGAUCCGGGUUGCGGACAGUGUCUGGUGGGUAGUUUGACUGGGGCGGUCUCCUCCUAAAGAGUAACGGAGGAGCACGAAGGUUGGCUAAUCCUGGUCGGACAUCAGGAGGUUAGUGCAAUGGCAUAAGCCAGCUUGACUGCGAGCGUGACGGCGCGAGCAGGUGCGAAAGCAGGUCAUAGUGAUCCGGUGGUUCUGAAUGGAAGGGCCAUCGCUCAACGGAUAAAAGGUACUCCGGGGAUAACAGGCUGAUACCGCCCAAGAGUUCAUAUCGACGGCGGUGUUUGGCACCUCGAUGUCGGCUCAUCACAUCCUGGGGCUGAAGUAGGUCCCAAGGGUAUGGCUGUUCGCCAUUUAAAGUGGUACGCGAGCUGGGUUUAGAACGUCGUGAGACAGUUCGGUCCCUAUCUGCCGUGGGCGCUGGAGAACUGAGGGGGGCUGCUCCUAGUACGAGAGGACCGGAGUGGACGCAUCACUGGUGUUCGGGUUGUCAUGCCAAUGGCACUGCCCGGUAGCUAAAUGCGGAAGAGAUAAGUGCUGAAAGCAUCUAAGCACGAAACUUGCCCCGAGAUGAGUUCUCCCUGAGACUUAGAGUCUCCUGAAGGAACGUUGAAGACGACGACGUUGAUAGGCCGGGUGUGUAAGCGCAGCGAUGCGUUGAGCUAACCGGUACUAAUGAACCGUGAGGCUUAACCUUACAACGCCGAAG
RNAcentral lists this ribosomal RNA (2927 nucleotides) under Salmonella enterica subsp. enterica serovar Dublin. RNAcentral's name for it is "bacterial LSU rRNA". It matches the Rfam family "Bacterial large subunit ribosomal RNA". The record is from RNAcentral. Lineage: Bacteria; Pseudomonadati; Pseudomonadota; Gammaproteobacteria; Enterobacterales; Enterobacteriaceae.